Molecule: RNase P RNA, 442 nt
Filed under: Corynebacterium auriscanis
Lineage: Bacteria; Bacillati; Actinomycetota; Actinomycetes; Mycobacteriales; Corynebacteriaceae
Description: bacterial RNase P
Rfam family: Bacterial RNase P class A
About the family: Ribonuclease P (RNase P) is a ubiquitous endoribonuclease, found in archaea, bacteria and eukarya as well as chloroplasts and mitochondria.
Source: RNAcentral
CGAGACAGCCGGGUGAUCGCGGCGCGUGGAACCAGCCGUUUAGUGCGGAAAGGCCAGGCGCGGAGGAAAGUCCGGACUCCAUAGGGCGCGGUGGUUGCUAACGGCAACCCGGGGUGACCCGCGGGCUAGUGCCACAGAAAACAAACCGCCUGGCGCCUUCGGGCGUGCGGGUAAGGGUGAAAAGGUGCGGUAAGAGCGCACCAGCACCUCAGGUGACUGGGGUGGCUUGGUAAACCCCACCGGGAGCAAGGUCAAGUGUUUGCACUGCAGUCUUCGGGUUGAUAGUGCGAGCGAGUUCGAGGGCGGCCCGCCCGUGUGAUGAUAGGUAGACCGCUUGAGGCCACCAGCGAUGGUCGGCACAGAUGGAUGAUCGCCUCGUCCACGUCUUCCCCUCGGGGAGGGGGUGGAUAGACAGAAUCCGGCUCAUAGGCUGUCUCGACCU